Octodon degus (degu) is the source of this 132-nucleotide small nucleolar RNA. NCBI's taxonomy places the organism in Eukaryota, Metazoa, Chordata, Mammalia, Rodentia, Octodontidae. The record is from Ensembl.
AUCCUCUGGGUACUUAAUGUAGGCUAUAGUCUUGCAUUGACUGUAUAGAAAGAGAAGGCAGACUAAGCCUGCAUAUGUACACCUCAGACCAUGUAUAUACCUGGUUCUUUAUUGUGGAUGGAGCAGGAAUGG